UGACAUUGUGAACAGUCAUGAGAGGUGCAGUAUGGGUGGGAGACCUUGCUCGCAAAUGAAAUGCCACCACUCUCAUCGAUUCCAUGCUUACUCAGUGGGAAGAGAAUCAAGCUUUGGCUCUCUCUUCUUUGUCUCACAUCCGAAGGUGAUUGAUUUGCUCUAAUAAUUGCACCCUUUCAAAAAACCACGGUUCAUCCGCAUAUACUGGCAUGUUCUUGUACAACCUCUGGUAUAGGCAAGUGCCA
RNAcentral lists this non-coding RNA (245 nucleotides) under Ancylostoma ceylanicum. RNAcentral describes it as "Eukaryotic large subunit ribosomal RNA". It matches the Rfam family "Eukaryotic large subunit ribosomal RNA", at positions 2435 to 2610 of the family's 3401-position model. The record is from Rfam by way of RNAcentral. Lineage: Eukaryota; Metazoa; Nematoda; Chromadorea; Rhabditida; Ancylostomatidae.